UGCGCAGGCGGCUUAUUAAGUCGGAUGUGAAAUCCCCGAGCUUAACUUGGGAAUUGCAUUUGAUACUGGCGAGCUAGAGUAUGGGAGAGGAUGGUAGAAUUCCAGGUGUAGCGGUGAAAUGCGUAGAGAUCUGGAGGAAUACCGAUGGCGAAGGCAGCCAUCUGGCCUAAUACUGACGCUGAGGUACGAAAGCAUGGGGAGCAAACAGGAUUAGAUACCCGGGUA
RNAcentral lists this ribosomal RNA (225 nucleotides) under uncultured Acinetobacter sp. RNAcentral describes it as "partial 16S ribosomal RNA". It matches the Rfam family "Bacterial small subunit ribosomal RNA", at positions 568 to 792 of the family's 1533-position model. Lineage: Bacteria; Pseudomonadati; Pseudomonadota; Gammaproteobacteria; Moraxellales; Moraxellaceae. The record is from RNAcentral.